GGCGGGGGCCGGGCCGGGCCGGCGGCGGGGGGCUCGCUCGCCCUCCCUGCCGGAAUGAGCGCCGCAGGGCGGGGCGGCAGCGGCCGCGCAGGACGCGGGGCGGCGCUGCGCUCCUCUUGUGUCCGGAGACAACGGCAGCGACAGCGACAGCGGCGGCGGCUGGCGGGGUCAGCGCCCAGGGACGCUGCCCUUCCUCCAUCCCCCUCGUCCCGCUCCGAGCCAGUGCUGCAAGCUGAUCGCCUAAGAACAUGGAAUAUAAUAUGGAUGCAGAUGCUUGAACAUAAUUUCUUCUGUACUCUGCAGAUUGGUAGCUUGAAUCAUUGAUUGAUAAGAAAUUAUACACAGGACUAAUACCAAGGAAAUAUUCUGUCUGUUCAUGUUGGGUUUAAUGAAAAUGAU
RNAcentral lists this long non-coding RNA (399 nucleotides) under Camarhynchus parvulus. RNAcentral's name for it is "lncRNA (ENSCPVG00000018121.1)". Lineage: Eukaryota; Metazoa; Chordata; Aves; Passeriformes; Thraupidae. The record is from RNAcentral.